CAGUAGCCGCGGUAAUACAGAGGGUGCGAGCGUUAAUCGGAUUUACUGGGCGUAAAGCGUGCGUAGGCGGCUUCUUAAGUCGGAUGUGAAAUCCCUGAGCUUAACUUAGGAAUUGCAUUCGAUACUGGGAAGCUAGAGUAUGGGAGAGGAUGGUAGAAUUCAAGGUGUAGCGGUGAAAUGCGUAGAGAUCUGGAGGAAUACCGAUGGCGAAGGCAGCCAUCUGGCCUAAUACUGACGCUGAGGUACGAAAGCAUGGGGAGCAAACAGGAUUAGAUACCCCCGUAGUCCCUGUCUCUUAUAC
This 301-nucleotide ribosomal RNA is filed under the name uncultured bacterium. Its description in RNAcentral is "partial 16S ribosomal RNA". It matches the Rfam family "Bacterial small subunit ribosomal RNA", at positions 509 to 807 of the family's 1533-position model. The record is from RNAcentral.